AAUCACAGUCAUAUCACCCUGCAGCCCAAGACCGGUUACUCACUGAAUUCUAAGCAGGACUGAGUCUGGUCAGUACCUGGAUAGGAGACCACAUGGGAAAACUAGGUUGCUGUUGGAA
Molecule: ribosomal RNA, 118 nt
Filed under: Danio rerio (zebrafish)
Lineage: Eukaryota; Metazoa; Chordata; Actinopteri; Cypriniformes; Danionidae
Source: RNAcentral